RNAcentral lists this ribosomal RNA (251 nucleotides) under uncultured prokaryote. RNAcentral describes it as "partial 16S rRNA". It matches the Rfam family "Bacterial small subunit ribosomal RNA", at positions 525 to 775 of the family's 1533-position model. The record is from RNAcentral.
ACGUAGGAGGCGAACGUUAUCCGGAUUUACUGGGCGUAAAGCGCGUGUAGGUGGUUCUGUAAGUAGGGCGUGAAAGCUCCUGGCUCAACUGGGAGAGGCCGUUCUAAACUACAGAACUAGAGGAUGGUAGAGGGAGGUGGAAUUCCAGGUGUAGCGGUGGAAUGCGCAGAUAUCUGGAGGAACCCCAGUGGCGAGGGCAGCCGCCUGGACAACUCCUGACACUAAGACGCGAUAGCGAGGGUAGCAAACGG